This 1167-nucleotide long non-coding RNA is filed under the name Heterocephalus glaber (naked mole-rat). RNAcentral describes it as "lncRNA (ENSHGLG00000046276.1)". Lineage: Eukaryota; Metazoa; Chordata; Mammalia; Rodentia; Bathyergidae. The record is from RNAcentral.
CACUCCACACGGAGCUACAUCCCUAGCUUUGUGUGUGUGUAUGCGUGUGUUUCUUUAGAGACAGGUCUCGUUAUGUACCCCAGGCUGGCCUCAAACUCACAGUGAUCCUCCUGCUUUGACCUCCAGAGUGCUGGGAUCACAGGUGUGUGCCACCACACCAUUUCCCAGCCAUUUAAAAAAUUUUAAUUUUGAGACAAGGUUUUGCUAAGUUGUUAAAGUUUUCUGGCUAGGCUCUGACUUCAGAUCUUCCUGCCUCCGCCACCUGCAGUACGGGGAUUAUUGGCAUGUAGCACCAUGCCUAGCUAAGUGCAUGUCUCAUGUAGGUCUUUCUCAGAUUCUUUAUAUUUUGGUUGCUCCUUAAAAAAUCCAGGGGCAGGGGAUUUAGCUCAGUGGUUCUGGCGCCUGUCUUGCAAGGACGAGGUCCUGAGUUUGAUCCCCAGUAUCCCCCCGCCCCAUCCAACAUUUGGGCUUUCCUAAUAUAUCAGAGGCAGCCAGCUUAUAAUUUUCUUGUAUGAAUGAAAAUAAAUGGCUCAAACGGCAAAUGAGACUCCAGUGCACACCUAUUAGAAUGGUCGGAGUGCAGAACACAGACAAGGAGAGGAUGAGAAUCAAUGGAAACUCUCGCUUCCUGGUGGAGGGAAGGUAAAACUGCACAGGCACAUUAGAAGACAGAUCAGUCGUUCCUUAUAAAACUGAACAGACUCCUGUGUGAUCCAGCAAUCACAUUCCGUGAUAUUUAUCAGAUGAGCUGAGCCUGCGUAUCCACAAAAAAACCUCACCUAGGUGUGCAUAGCAGCUCCGUUCGUAAUUGCUGAAAUGCAGAAGUGACUUUACCUUUGUAGAGGAGAGACUGGACUGUGGAAUAUGAUUCAGUGCGGAAAGAAAUGAACUCUCAAACCAGGAGAGGACACAGCAGCUUAAAUGGACAAGAUGAAAAGCCAAUCUGACAUCGAGGCAGCCAUGACGGCACAGCUGAAGACCCUCAGAAAAGAGGACUCCAGAGCUGUCGCAGAGCAAGUCCUUCUGUAGCUUAGUUGGAGAGUGGAGGACUGUAGUGGACGCCUCAGAGCUGCUGCAUCAAGUGGCAAGAACGACGGGAUGAGUGGGUUCAAAGCAAGGGAGGAUUUAGAGGGGAUUCAUGGCAAUGUCUUUACUGUAAUAAAAAAU